UACUACAAAUGCCACCCAACGGCGUUAUAAUGGCUCAGGUGACUCCCAGUUUCAAAAUUACAAUCACCGUGGCAGAGGGGUCCAAAACCAGGCGAUGAAUAAUG
Long non-coding RNA from Ipomoea nil (Japanese morning glory), 104 nucleotides. RefSeq lists it as uncharacterized. The record is from RefSeq and is a predicted model, not a curated record. The transcript has 4 exons. Lineage: Eukaryota; Viridiplantae; Streptophyta; Magnoliopsida; Solanales; Convolvulaceae.